Molecule: long non-coding RNA, 1209 nt
Organism: Rhincodon typus (whale shark)
Lineage: Eukaryota; Metazoa; Chordata; Chondrichthyes; Orectolobiformes; Rhincodontidae
Exons: 3
Source: RefSeq, a predicted model, not a curated record
UCCUGUUCCGCCAUUUUGUUCUCGGCGCGUGGGCAAGUUUGUGAUUGUUUGAAGAUGGCUGCCGCUGCGGUCGAGGAUGGAGAGUCAGACAGAUAGACAGGGGCUAGUGAGAGGAGGAGGCGGAGGAAGAAGAAGAAGAAGAAGAAGAUGAUGAAGAUGAAUGGGUGAGGAUGUGUCAUGGCGAUGGUACGGAGCGGCUGGGUCCGGGCCCGGCGGGUGAUGGUCCAAAUGCCGGACUCUGUUGGUGAGCUUCGCCGUCUUUGUGACUCUCCUGGGGCUGACGUUCUUCUCUCUGGGCAGGGGAUCGGUGAAUGAACGACUCCUGGUGACUUAUGGCGGGGAGGGGAGUGAGACUGAGGGGUUUCGAGCUGCUGAAACAGGGCGUGGGACCGAACCCAAGGUGGGGAUCUUGCCUGAAGGCCGCGGUUGGUGCCGGGUAUGGAUAGGCCAGAGAUGUGCCCGCACCUGAAAUUCUCAUUUGAAAAUUAGUGUCUUCGCAUUACUGAAAAGGACAUCCUUCUAAUAACACAAGCAGAAAUGUGGCGUGGAUGUAACAGCAGAGUCAUUAUCUUCAUCAACGUGCCCUGAAAGUUUACUCCUUAUUUUGAAAAUGGUAUUCAUGCAGAAGAGCAUGAUGUAUGGAGAAAACCAGCUUCAAUGUUGCUAUGCCUGCUCAAGAACUAAAGGGUGGAGGAUGGCCGAUGAUGUGGUAAUAUCAGUGGACUAGUGAUCCAGAGGUCCAGACUAUUGGGAAUGACAGAGCGACUGGUAGAAGCAAAUUUGAUUAAUAAAGUCUAGGAUUAAUAGCAGGUCUCAGAAUUAUGACUGUGACAACUAUCAUUGAUCUUUAUUUUUUAAAAAAAGUCCAAUUCACCUGUGUCCUUCAGGAAGGAAGUCCUCCAUUUUUAACUGGACUGGCCUACAUGCAACUCCAGAAUCACAGUAAUGACAUCGACUGUCCUCUGAAAUAGUGUGGCGAGUCACUCGGUUCAACGCAUAUUAUCUGUGAAAUUUUGUUUUCAUUUAAAAAAUUUCUGGAAAUUUAUAUUUUUUGUAUUUUGAUGUGUACAGCUUAGACAUUGGAUUUUGGAAGAAUAAUGGAUCAUUAAAGCUAGAAUUUGUGGUUCUACCUGAAAUAAUGCACUUUCCUUUUGGCUCCGUUUUAUCUAUUGUAUCUACUUGUUCAAAAUAAAGAAUUUACUGCAAACA